Molecule: transfer RNA, 71 nt
Filed under: Chlamydiota bacterium
Lineage: Bacteria; Pseudomonadati; Chlamydiota
Description: tRNA-Gln
Rfam family: tRNA
About the family: Transfer RNA (tRNA) molecules are approximately 80 nucleotides in length. Their secondary structure includes four short double-helical elements and three loops (D, anti-codon, and T loops).
Source: RNAcentral
UGCCGGAUCGUCUAAUGGCAGGACGGGUGACUCUGGAUCACCUAAUCUAGGUUCGAAUCCUAGUCCGGCAG